This 761-nucleotide ribosomal RNA is filed under the name uncultured bacterium. RNAcentral's name for it is "bacterial SSU rRNA". It matches the Rfam family "Bacterial small subunit ribosomal RNA", at positions 1 to 743 of the family's 1533-position model. The record is from RNAcentral.
CAAGCUUAGUUUGAUCCUGGCUCAGAACGAACGCUGGCGGCGUGCCUAACACAUGCAAGUCGAACGUGAUCCAUCCUUCGGGGUGGUGAAAGUGGCGCACGGGUGAGUAACGCGUGGAUAAUCUGCCCGAGGAUUUGGGAUAACAUCUCGAAAGGGGUGCUAAUACCGAAUAAGCCCACGGGGUCUACGGAUCUUGCGGGAAAAGGGGGGGACUUUCGGGCCUCCUGUCUUCGGAUGAGUCCGCGUACCAUUAGCUAGUUGGUAGGGUAAUGGCCUACCAAGGCGACGAUGGUUAGCUGGUCUGAGAGGAUGAUCAGCCACACUGGAACUGAGACACGGUCCAGACUCCUACGGGAGGCAGCAGUGGGGAAUUUUGCGCAAUGGGGGAAACCCUGACGCAGCAACGCCGCGUGGGUGAUGAAGGCCUUCGGGUCGUAAAGCCCUAUCGGGAGGGAAGAAAUGAUUGAGAGCUAAUACCUCUUGGUCUUGACGGUACCUCCGAAGGAAGCACCGGCUAACUCCGUGCCAGCAGCCGCGGUAAUACGGAGGGUGCAAGCGUUGUUCGGAAUUAUUGGGCGUAAAGCGCGUGUAGGCGGUCUUUUAAGUCUGAUGUGAAAGCCCCGGGCUCAACCUGGGAAGUGCAUUGGAAACUGGGAGACUUGAGUACGGGAGAGGAGAGUGGAAUUCCUAGUGUAGGAGUGAAAUCCGUAGAUAUUAGGAGGAACACCGGUGGCGAAGGCGGCUCUCUGGACCGAUACUAC